This 465-nucleotide ribosomal RNA is filed under the name Vreelandella stevensii. RNAcentral describes it as "partial 16S ribosomal RNA". It matches the Rfam family "Bacterial small subunit ribosomal RNA", at positions 338 to 795 of the family's 1533-position model. The record is from RNAcentral. Lineage: Bacteria; Pseudomonadati; Pseudomonadota; Gammaproteobacteria; Oceanospirillales; Halomonadaceae.
CCUACGGGGGGCUGCAGUGGGGAAUAUUGGACAAUGGGCGAAAGCCUGAUCCAGCCAUGCCGCGUGUGUGAAGAAGGCCUUCGGGUUGUAAAGCACUUUCAGUGGGGAAGAAAGCCUUGGGGCUAAUACCCUCGAGGAAGGACAUCACCCACAGAAGAAGCACCGGCUAACUCCGUGCCAGCAGCCGCGGUAAUACGGAGGGUGCGAGCGUUAAUCGGAAUUACUGGGCGUAAAGCGCGCGUAGGCGGUCUGAUAAGCCGGUUGUGAAAGCCCCGGGCUCAACCUGGGAACGGCAUCCGGAACUGUCAGGCUAGAGUGCAGGAGAGGAAGGUAGAAUUCCCGGUGUAGCGGUGAAAUGCGUAGAGAUCGGGAGGAAUACCAGUGGCGAAGGCGGCCUUCUGGACUGACACUGACGCUGAGGUGCGAAAGCGUGGGUGGCAAACAGGAUUAGAUACCCCAGUAGUC